GUGCCAGCCGCUGCGGUAAUACGAAGGGGCUAGCGUUGUUCGGAUUUACUGGGCGUAAAGCGCGCGUAGGCGGGUCGUUAAGUCGAGGGUGAAAUCCUGGAGCUCAACUCCCAGAACUGCCUUCGAUACUGGCGACCUAGAGUCCGGAAGAGGUGAGUGGAACUCCUAGUGUAGAGGUGGAAUUCGUAGAUAUUAGGAAGAACACCAGUGGCGAAGGCGGCUCACUGGUCCGGUACUGACGCUGAGGUGCGAAAGCGUGGGAGCGAAACGAGGAUUAGGAUACCCUGGUAGUCCACGCCGUAAACUA
This 307-nucleotide ribosomal RNA is filed under the name uncultured Devosia sp. Its description in RNAcentral is "bacterial SSU rRNA". It matches the Rfam family "Bacterial small subunit ribosomal RNA", at positions 505 to 809 of the family's 1533-position model. The record is from RNAcentral. Lineage: Bacteria; Pseudomonadati; Pseudomonadota; Alphaproteobacteria; Hyphomicrobiales; Devosiaceae.